Molecule: non-coding RNA, 49 nt
Filed under: Rhizobacter gummiphilus
Lineage: Bacteria; Pseudomonadati; Pseudomonadota; Betaproteobacteria; Burkholderiales; Sphaerotilaceae
Description: Guanidine-II sequence
Rfam family: Guanidine-II riboswitch aptamer (mini-ykkC)
About the family: Simpler in structure and has fewer highly conserved nucleotide positions than the ykkC-yxkD leader. Despite this each of its two stem-loop structures directly bind free guanidine.
Source: Rfam by way of RNAcentral
GCGGCGGGACGACCCGCUGCACGAAACCGAUCCCGCCGGGACGACCCGG